GGGCGUAAAGCGUGCGCAGGCGGCUUUUUAAGCCAGACGUGAAAUCCCCGGGCUUAACCUGGGAACUGCGUUUGGAACUGGAAGGCUAGAGUGUGUCAGAGGGGGGUGGAAUUCCACGUGUAGUAGUGAAAUGCGUUGAUAUCGUUGGGAACACCGAAAGCGAAGGCAGAGCACUGGGUGCCACCUGACACUGCUAGGACGAAAGCGUGGGUAGCGAAUGGGAUUAGAUACCCCAGUAGUCCACGCUGUAAACGAUGAAUACUAGGCAUACGCGAGUAUCGACCCUCGUAUGUGCCGUAGCUAACGCGAUAAGUAUUCCGCCUGGGGAGUACGGUCGCAAGACUAAAACUCAAAGGAAUUGACGGGGACCCGCACAAGCGGUGGAGCAUGUGGUGUAAUUCGACGAUAAGCGAGGAACCUUACCAAGGUUUGACAUGUACCUUCAAGCGCACGGACACCGUGUGAUCUUCGAGAGUGGUACACAGGUGCUGCACGGUUGUCCUCAGCUCGUGUCGUGAGAUGUUCCCUUAAGUGGGAGAACGAGCGCAACCCUCAUGUUAUGUUGAUUUUCAUAACAGACUGCCAGCGUUUAAGCUGGAGGAAGGCGAGGAUGACGUCAAAUCAGCGUGGCUUUUACACCUUGGGCGGCACACGUGCUACAAUGGGUAGGAACAAAGGGACGCAACACCGCAAGGUAGAGCAAAUCCUCUCAAAAACUAUCCUCAGUUCGGAUUGUGGGCUGCAACUCGCCCGCAUGAAGCUGGAAUCGCUAGU
Molecule: ribosomal RNA, 774 nt
Filed under: uncultured Thiobacillus sp.
Lineage: Bacteria; Pseudomonadati; Pseudomonadota; Betaproteobacteria; Nitrosomonadales; Thiobacillaceae
Description: bacterial SSU rRNA
Rfam family: Bacterial small subunit ribosomal RNA
Source: RNAcentral